Molecule: long non-coding RNA, 307 nt
Filed under: Vigna radiata
Lineage: Eukaryota; Viridiplantae; Streptophyta; Magnoliopsida; Fabales; Fabaceae
Description: long non-coding RNA (VRAD_LNC012247)
Source: RNAcentral
CUAGAUAUGUAACUAUUAUUUGCGAACUUGUUGUGAAGUAUCCAUCAUUGAGAUGCAUUAUGAUUAUGAGGUCUAAAUCAAUCGGUGGGAAUAUGGCAACAAGAGAGAAAGAUGAAGAACAAAUAAAGAAAGAGAUGGAUGGGAAACGUAGAAAAGUUCUUAAAAGAGAAGGAAGAGUGUGUGAACUGAGCUUUAAGCCUCUUGUCUCAAUCAAUCCAUAUAAUACAAACUUUUGUACGUAUAGCUAUAGACAUGUAGCAUCCAAAGUAGGGGAGAGUUCGAGAAAAUAAUAAUACCAACAAAUAAU